CCGCCGCCCCGCCAGCACCGGGGUCCUCGGGGGUCCUGAGGGCUUCGGGGAGGGGCUGCCGCCGGCCGGGGAGGGCGCCCGCGCCGAGUCCCCGCCCGCGCGCCCCCGCCCGCCCGUCCGGCCCGCCCGCCCCGGAAUGCCAUGGAGCGAGGGGCGUGCGUGCCGGGGGCGGGCCCGGCCGGAGGGGGCGGCCGCGCUGACUCAGGGCUCAGGAAUGCGCACGGCCCGCCCGGCCCGAGCCACCUCCUCCCGGAAGGCCGCUGGGCUCCGCUCUCCCUUGUGCCCGCCCGCGGGGACACCUGUGGCUGGGGUUUGCGAGCGCCUUGGCCAAGGAAGGGAGGGAGGAUCCGGUGGCCCGGCUGGAGGGAGCCUGACGGCCGACGACAGUCCAGCUCCUCAGCCACUCCCGGACUCCAGAGGCAUGGCAAGGGGGCCCAAAAAUACCUGGGCCCAGGGCCCAGCAGCACUGGCAGCACGCUCCAGGAAAGGAGGAUGCAGCCCCCACACACCUCCUCCUGCUCCCUCUCCACUCAAGGAGCCUCUGACCCCCCAGCGCCCGUCAGAUACCGAGGGCCUAGGAGGCCAGUCAGGAUGCCAGAAGCCACCCUGCUGAGAAGCCAAAGCAGGACUCUGACCCAACUCUCCCAUCGACCGUGUCAGCCCUCCCUACGUUAGACAGGACACUGAGCCAGUGAGCUGGGUGCCCUGGGACAGUGCUGUGCUGGAACUUGGCCUCUGUGGCUGGUAGAGCCCCUGUCCUUUCUCUCAAGGCCGCAGAGACUGACGGCCCCACUGCAGGCCGUGAGCCCUCCCUGCAGGGCACAGAGCAGCCCACCCCAACGCUGACCCCUUUCAAAGCAUCGAGGGUGUCCUCACCUCCAUCUUCCAUUGGCAUCCUCCAAUAAGCCUCUCCCAGCCCAGCAGCAGGCACGUGGACGGAGGCGGCCCACGCCCCUCCUGCCCAGCACCACCUUCUGUCCCUCAGCCCGCCUGCCGGCCCUGCAGGCCACAGUGGGAAUGCUCAGCCCACCACUUCCAGCCUGUGGUGGGGCCUCAGACCACAAACCAGGAAGUGGGGGGUGGGGGGGUGCAGGGGUUGCGCAAGCCCCGGCACUCAGGCCCGAACAUCUGGAGAAGUGGGUUGCUGGCACCGGCCCUGCCUCCUCCCCCUGGGAGCCAGGGCUGCCCUCCUGGCCUCUCUCUCCUCUUCCUAAGGUGGGGAUAAAACACCCCUCUGGGAACGUGUGGACUCCCCAUGUUUUCUGCAAGGCCUGGCACCAUUUGUGAAAUCCAAAUAAAAAUUAACACAAAA
RNAcentral lists this long non-coding RNA (1312 nucleotides) under Equus asinus (donkey). RNAcentral's name for it is "lncRNA (ENSEASG00005026359.1)". Lineage: Eukaryota; Metazoa; Chordata; Mammalia; Perissodactyla; Equidae. The record is from RNAcentral.